RNAcentral lists this long non-coding RNA (26695 nucleotides) under Hordeum vulgare. RNAcentral describes it as "long non-coding RNA (HVUL_LNC002918)". The record is from RNAcentral. Lineage: Eukaryota; Viridiplantae; Streptophyta; Magnoliopsida; Poales; Poaceae.
CGGGCUUGGGUUCUGGCUUUGGCAUCGGCUCCGGCUUGGGUUCCGGCUUGGGCUCUGGCUUUGGCAUGGGUUCAGGCUUAGGCAUAGGUUUGGGCUCCGGCUUUGGCAUGGGUUCAGGCUUAGGCAUAGGUGUGGGCUCCGGCUUCGGCAUGGGUUCAGGUUUAGGCAUAGGCUUGGGCUCCGGGUACGGCGUGGGCUUGGGCUCUGGCUCGGGGAGCUUCUCGGCGAGGCCCCGGCCAGCAGCGGCCGCGAGGCUGAAGCCGGAGGCCGCGAGCAGCCCGACGAGGAGCACGGCAAGGAGGCUGUGCCUCGCCAUUGCUGCUUUCUCGCAGCUGUUGCUGCACUUGUGCUUCACCGCUUCCGAACCUCUCAACGGGCGAUGGAUAGAUAAAGUGGAUGUGGUGUGUGGUUCCUCUGAAUGGUGGUGUGGAGAACCGGAGAUGGCAUAUGUCCCGGCUUUAUAGCGCUGAGCAGCCAAGCAGGCCCAGACGCGUGUGCCACACUCCCGGCGCCGGUGGGUCUGCUUGUGGAUCAGGUUACCCCAACCUUUUCAGUUUUCAUCUGCCGUCUGCCGUCUGCACCUUCCUUCCUUCCGACUGCAAAGCUAGCUAGGUAAGAUGCCCGAGGUACGGCUGGCGGUGGCCGGUGGCCCGUCGCCGUCGCGCCUUGAAACCCAUGUCGGAUCUUCAUUUCUCCGUUGCGCGUAGCAUCCGACGACGGCUGAUGGGUGCGGGUCAAGUCCGAGGACGACUGUUUCUAGCAGCUAGCAGCAGCAGCAGAUAGCCGGCAGCCGGUGGGGCACUGAAGGUUAAAACCCCAGCCUGACGGCAUCAUCAUCAACUCUUUUAUGCGCCGUACUGUUCACGUGGUUGAUUACAAAGAGAAGGUACGAAAAAGUAAGCACUAGUUGUGGUCGCCAGGCAGACACGAGCCCGUGCGUGCGUGCGUGCGUGUGCGUCCGUCCUGAACGCGUUUGCGCUGCCGGCUCGAUGGCCUGCUGCCGUUUCACUGUUCAUGCAUGUCCGGUCGAUCGAUCCGUCCGUCGGCGAUUCUGCGUACGGCGCGGUGUGCCAUCGACGGCAGCCGCGCCCACUGACCCGCUGUAUCUAUCGAGCCAUCGGCAUUGUUCACGGAUGGGAUCUGGCGAACGAUCGGCCUUGCUUUGCUUGGUGUGGUUUGCGGUGUUGAUUACUUGAUUGAUUGUCUUUUCUUUGUGGGAUACACUUCCGAUGCUUCUUAUCAUAAUCCAUCGCGGCAGUACAAAUAAAGCCAGAGAUAAUAAAAAUUACAACCAGGUCUAUUGAUCGCCUAACUACGAAUGCAAGCAAGGGAGCGAGCUGAGGGCAUGACGACGUCAUUGCCCCUCCAUCAUCCGGGCCGGGUAGAACUUUAUUGUAGUAGACAAAAGACAAUCAAAAAGUAUAGCACCGACCGAAUUUCAUGAGAUUCAGCGAAAAUACCUCCACAUGUCCUCCAACAAUGCUAGACGUAUCGUUGGUAUUAGGAUAAAACGUAAGAAAAUAUUUCUAUUGAACCACAUCACCGCCGUCACAAAGCCCCAACCAAGACACUUUUUUUUUGCGAGAAACCAACCANNNNNNNNNNNNNNNNNNNNNNNNNNNNNNNNNNNNNNNNNNNNNNNNNNNNNNNNNNNNNNNNNNNNNNNNNNNNNNNNNNNNNNNNNNNNNNNNNNNNAGGGGCCAGCACCGCCUGCACCCGCCGGAGCACCGCCGCUAGCCCAACGCCCGCCACCGCCUACCGCNCACCGCUCGCCGAGGCCUGCCCCCUCGCGCCCGAUCGCGAUCGCCACAAGCCACCGCCGUCAACCACCUAGAUCCACCGCUCGCGGAGGAAGGGGAGCCGGGAGAGGGAGUCCCCCGCCGCCGCCGUCUGCCACACGUGUUUUACCGGCGGCGUCACCCGGAGGCGGCGAGGAGGGGAGGAUGAGAGAGCGGCGGCGGCGCCUAGGGCUUGGGAGCCCCCGAGUCGCCCAGGACGGGGGCGACGCGAGGGGUCUUCCCGUUACUUGUGUCAUGUGAGUUGGACAGUGGAACAAGAAACGGUGAGUUUCUGUAGUACGAUAAUUUUGAGGAUUGGAGUGUAAAGUAAAUCGGUUUCAAAUACUCUGCUGCUCAUAAAUUUCCGAGAGAUAAACACGAUCUGUUGCUCAAGUGUUAAUUCUAGUCUUGUUUGCUCACAAGUCGAUGGUUUUUUCUACUGUCUAUAUUUAUUAGAUAGAAAAACAAGGAGAAGUCAAAUAUAAACCAUAUCGCAUUUGAAAACUUGGUCCUGGACAUGAUCAUUUGAACUGGCGGUUAUCGCAUUUGCAAGUGCCUACAUUCUAUUUCUUUUUGCAAAAUUAGCUUAUCUUGCUGAUUUUUCUACAAACUUCUAUAUAUUCUAGGACAAUGUGAGAUAGUGAAAAUGCUGCUUUCAACUGGAAUUGAUGUUGAUCAUCUCGAUUCUGAGUACGGGACCGCAUUGCAUGCUGCCGCUACUAAUGGUCAAGAUGGCUCAAUGAGUAUUUUGUUGCAGCAUCACGCAGAUGUAAGUCGCCACUUUCUUCGUUCUCUUCUUGGCUGUGCGAAACUAAAUUCGGACUUGUGAAGGCUCUAAUUAAGCGACUGUAUCUCCAGUUCAUAACUAAAUUCGGACUUGUGAAGGCUCUAAUUAAACGGAAAUACUGGGGUCUAUUAGUACUUGGGCUCAAUCUGAACCAAAAGAGUUUAUGUUGGCACAAAGCAAAACAUAUAUACAACAUUUGUCGUUUGACCAUAAGUAAUUCUCCUGAAGUGAAACAUGUUCAUUUUCUCAUAAGUAUUCUAAAUGUUUGUCUGAUUUUAUAAUUAAAUUAAAAAAGUGUUUGCUUAUGUGCAUUGAGAAAUGCAAAUAUGUGUAACACACAAUGCGCUUGUUUUAUUUCCCCAUAUAUUACUCCAUUUUUUACAAGUGAAUAAAUCGAUGUUUCUACUUUCCACAGCCUAAUAAGGUUUUCCGCCUUCAAAGUACCCCGUUAAGUAUGGCCAUAAUUUCUGAAUCGCUGGAAUGUGUGAAGCUACUCGUUAAGGUCAGCAAUCUUUCUCGUUCAUGGAGCUUCCUUUAGUGUAGUCUAUAGACGCAGCUUCAUUUCUCCGUGCAUACAGUUUCUGCAGUUGACAUCUCAAGCACUUGCUCAAAUGAAACUAAAAUUUAUUUACACAGGCUGGCGCUGAUGUGAAUAAAAUUGACUAUACUGGUGUUACUUACUUGAUGGUAGCAGCAACCAAUGGCUUAUCUGAUAUCAUGAAGUGCUUACUGGAUGCUGGGGCUGACCCAGAUGUUGAUGAUGGAGUGAGUCACUGAGUCUUACAUUGUUUUCUCUCCCUCUGCCUUCAUGAUCUACUUUUCAUACGUAUUCUCUUUUCGUAGUUGGCUGAAUGGUUGUGCCUCUGUGGAACAUGUUAGGAUCAAUAGGCUCUAGAGAGAUUGGGAUAAAUGUGCUCAGUCACUUCUUUUACAUCAACUGUACCCAUGCUGCUGGGAAUAUUUUAUUCAUGCAUGAUCAAACACAUUGUUUUAGUAAAUCAUAUCUGUUACUAAGCGAUACAUGGUCUACAGAGAACAUGGAAAAAGUAUUCCGACCAACAUGUUUACUGUGUAGUAUCAAUGGAGCAAAUCACCAUCGUAACAUUUUGCACCGCCUUGGUCAGCAUAUAUCUGCUGCAGUUCUUCCCAGCUGUUGAACUUACUAGUUGCUGCCCACGGAAGACGUUUUGAGUAGGAAUUCUUAGUAAAUCACCAUCCUGUACAAUUAUUUCUUUGCGGAGGCAGCGGAGUACCUUGCAGAGCUUUCAUGAAUUUGUUUAUUGUCAAUCGAGAAAUUCUCCAGUUUCUUCAUUGCCUGGUCAAAUAGACACAAGAUGCUAAUUUUUUCAAAGACUUACUCUUCUAUGUAUGUUGUUGUGUCGAUGGCACAUUCUUUCUCUAUUCUGUUUCGACAAAGGUGCAAUAUAAAAAACAUAUUAGUCUGGGAUUUGGAUUAAUAUUUUUACAGGAUUUAACCUUAGCUUUAUUUUCCGAAUUUAGUGGAGAAGUAUGGACAAGACUAUUCCAUUAUUUGUCCCUGAGCCUUGAUUUUCUCAAAGCCCAUCUAGUUAUGUGGUUGAUAUUGUGGACUUCCCAUAGUAACUAUCAAUGUUGAAAUGCUUUGCUAGCAAUGAUAAUCGAACAUGAAAUCAAUCAUCUCAUUUACUCCUGCAGUUUGGUACAACUCCAAUCGAAAUUGCCGCCCUCCGAGGCAGAUGGGAUAUGGUUGAGAUGUUAUUUCCUUUAACUUCUCCCAUUUCAACAUUGCCGGAUUGGAGUGUUGAUGGAAUUAUUUCUCAUGUGCAAUCUUUUGGUUUGAAGCCGAGGGUAUGUAGUUCCAUUUACAGUUCCAUAGUAUUAUGUAGCAUGGCUAGUAGUCUUCCAUUCUUCUUGUUGUGCUCCUGCAGUUAUGAUUUCUAUUGAUAUUUAUAAUAACAGAAAAAUGUUAUGCAUAAGCGCCCCAUAUUUGAGAAUGUUUUAAUGUCAUUGUUAGGGUCAACUAAGAUUCUAAAUGAAGCUUUCUUUUCUGUGCUUCUGUUGUAUAUAUGCCUUGACCAAAAAUACUUUUUGAUCAGGAUAUACAUCUAUGUGAAAUGAAAAGAGCUGAACUAAAUUUACAAGCUGCUGAGGCUUUUAAGAGAAAGGAAUAUACGAUAGCAGGAGAGCUAUAUACUUGUGUAAGUCACUGAGCCUAGAUGAUUACGAUAGUUACAGUGUCAAAUUAAUCAUGUGCUUGUCAUUCUUAUCUAGGAAGACACUUCACAUUUCGAAAACGCCUAAAAAGUUAAACCCCUUUCUGACUGUUCAGUGUCCUAAUCUAACUGUUUAAGCUGCAGCUAGACUAGAACCACAGUGUCUGAAACAAAGGCAGAUUUGCGUGGCACUAGAGCUGCAUGCUACUAUAGCAGUUGUUUUGCACUGUUUGUCCUCAAAAUACAGUCUGCAUUGUGCUCGCAGUUGCUAUUAUCAUCCAGUUACAUUAGCAGCUGCACCUGAUCUCUUUCUUUAGUACUCCCUCCGUUCGAAAAUAGUUGUCAUGGUUUUAGUUCAAAUUUGAACUCUAACCACGACAAGUAUUUUGGAGCAGAGGGAGUAUAUGUUCUAAUCUUCAUGCAUGAGCCCUUAUUCAAAUGUCCAGUCAGUCAGUAUAGCUAGUGACUAGAGAUAAUUUUUUGGGCACUAGUACAAAAUUUUAGCUUCACGCAAAAUGGUAACAAAAUAGCAUGUAUGUAGUUUUGUGAUCUUCCAGCAACUUGGAAUCUCACACACACACACACACANAAUGCUAUACGCACACAUACAUAUAUAUAUAUAUGUAUGUGUGCGUAUAGCAUUUCCUUAUUAAAACUAACUCAAUGGAAGGUGGCCCUCCGCAGAUUAGUUACCGACAUGAAAAAACUGCUUCGGAGUUGAAUUGCUUAUGUUUUUAGUUAGAUGAACUGUGUGCACAUCCAAAGGUAUUUUGAAUUCCAAAGUUAUCUAUAUUUAUUUCAUAAAAAAUCAGCAUCAUUUUCCAUGUAUCUUUCGUAAAAUUCUGUCAAAAAUCUUAUAUUUGAUUUCAUAAAAAUGAACGGUUUCUCCGUGUCUCGAUCUGGAUUAUCAGAAAUGUUGGCGGGGACGAUGAAAAUGCUGUUACUGUGUUAUGUCAACUACCUUGUAACAAAAUCUGCAUGUGAUUGGUCUAUUGUAGGCAAUGAGUUUUCAGCCCAGUUCAGAAGAUCUUGCAACCCUCCUAGCAAAUAGAAGUUUCUGUAUGUUGCACGCGGGAAUAGGAAAAGAUGCUCUCUCCGAUGCGGCUAAGUGCACGGUGCUACGACGUUUUUGGCCCAGAGGUUACUAUCUACUAGGAGCAGCCUUCAUGUUACUAGAGGUAAAAAGAAAGAAAAAAUCGUUACGGCCAUUCUUUCGUGACCAUGAUCAAAUUGAUCAUCUUCUGGUGUCUACUCACAGGACUAUGGAAAAGCAGCUCUGACUUUUGCAACUGGCUUGAAACUGGACCCUACCGAUGCCGAUAUUGCAAAUGCUUUAAGGUAAUUGUUUGUUCCAUGUCUUCAUGUUUGCGAGGAAUCUUGUGCAGUGCCACCUGCUUGAUUGGUCCCAUAAAUAUAUUAACUAUUUCUUAUAUACUCCCUGUGUUGCUAAAUAUUAGACAUUUUGACAGUUCAAUUUGAACUAGAACUGUAGCUCUGGUUCUCAAAAACAAAGGAAAGAGAGCACCUUGUCAUGUUGCCCUGUGCAUGCCUCUGCUCCGAUCAAUCUCUGGUAAAAGGAGCCAUAUAGAAGUAUGCUUAUACCAAAAAUAUUUUUCGUCGCAGGGAAGCCCGAGCGGCGGCGAGGAAUCCUCCUCGCACCGGGGGGCUGGGGCGCCUUAACCCAUUUGGAAUCAGACGCUCCUGGAGAGACUGAGGCUCUGUUUCGUUGCUAUCUCCAGUCCAGGGUAUGCUUGCCUGUUAUCCUCUUUUCCUAUGUCCAGUCCAGGGUAUGCAUGCCCCGUUAUUAUUCUCUGGAAAGAUUGAGACUCUGUUUCGUUGCUGAAGACUCUGUUUAGUGUUGAACCGUCCAAGACUGCCAAUCUCGUAUGCUAUGUUGUAAGACGUCAUGGGGCACUGAUGGUGUCAACAUGGAUAUAUGUACAUUGUGGUUAUAAACCGUCUCCGUGAACCGUUGUGGUUAUAUAUCGUGUUCGUGAACCCCUGUGAAAUGCGCUUGUCUAUAAUUCCAUUCUUAGAAAGGAAAUGAACAAGUCUUCAUCCACAUUAGUCAAGGUGGAGCUUAAGGCCCUGUUCGGAUUCUCUCCUUCCACAACUGCAGCUCCUUGAGCGGAGGGAACGGUAGCACAAUUUCAGGGAACUGCUCAAACCAAGCUCCUCGCGCGGAGCAGAGUUAUGAGAUUGGAGAGGUUCCGAACAUGCUUUAGGUAGUACAAUACUGGUUAGAGAAAAAGGAUAGCAGACAAAAAAAAAUUGUAGCCUUCUAGGAAGGGGGUCGUAUGGAAAGGGGGAAAUAAUCUGUGUGGAUAACUGGAUUUUGUAUGGGUAUGGCGUUGGGCAUGCUGUAGAAGUCAGUAGACACAUUAGAAUCCUGCCGAGGAUGAAAUACACUGCUUACUGAGGAUAAAGAGAGCACAUCCCUCUUUUCUUGGGGGAAUUUGGCACAUCUCUCUUUUUUUAGUGGAAUUUGGCACAACUCUUGCCAUCACCUUUUGCUGGGUGGUGAAUUUAACUAGAAACCGCACAUAUUGUCAUUCAUGUAAAUGAAUAAGAUCAUGUGUACAUACACGAAAGAACAACCGAGUCAUGUGCACAGAUGAACGCAUACCAGCACGCAAAUGAUAAUUACAAAGUAGUAAUAAUCAUCAUGGGUGCAUGGAACAAGAGAAACUAAAAAGGGAUGGUGGAAUACAAGGAAUGCAAAAAAGAUGCAUCAUCACUAUCUCGCUAGCCGGAUACUAUGCCACUUAUUCUGGAAAUAGCACAUCGUGGCUCCGGACGGGGUCGAUCUCCUCCUCCUUCGGCUGUCAUAUGUGAGCAUCACAUCAAUUGUCAGUCAUCGGCGGCUUGCCCUUCGGAGGCGGCUCGGGCUUGGGUUCGGGUUCAGGCUUGGGCUCUGGCUUAGGCAUGGGUUGAGGCUUGGGCUCUGGUUUUGGCAUUGGGUAAGGCUUGGGCUCUGGCUUUGGCAUCGGCUCGGGCUUAGGCUCCGGCUUUGGCAUCGGCUCUGGCUUGGGUUCAGGUUUUGGCAUCGGCUCGGGCUUGGGCUCUGGCUUUGGUUCGGGUUUUGGCAUCGGUUUAGGCUCAGGCUUCAUCGGCUCGGGUUUGGGCUCUGGCUUUGGUUCGGGUUUUGGCAUCGGCUCUGGUUUGGGCUCUGGCUUUGGUUCGGGUUUUGGCAUCGGCUCUGGUUUGGGCUCAGGCUUAGGUUCAGGUUUUGGCAUCGGCUCGGGCUUGGGCUCUGGCUUUGGUUCGGGUUUUGGCAUCGGCUCUGGUUUGGGCUCUGGCUUUGGUUCGGGUUUUGGCAUCGGCUCUGGUUUGGGCUCAGGCUUAGGCUCAGGUUUUGGCAUCGGCUCUGGCUUGGGCUCAGGCUUAGGCUCAGGUUUGGGCAUGGGGUAAGGCUUGGGCUCAGGCUUCGGUUCGGGUUUCGGCAUCGGCUCGGGCUUGGGCUCUGGCUUUGGUUCGGGUUUUGGCAUCGGCUCGGGCUUGGGCUCUGGCUUUGGUUCCGGUUUCGGCAUCGGUUUAGGCUCUGGCUUCAUCGGCUCGGGUUUGGGCUCAGGUUUCGGUUCUGGUUUAGGCAUGGGCUCAGGUUUCGGUUCUGGUUUAGGCAUAGGCUCAGGUUUGGGCUCAGGUUUCGGUUCUGGUUUAGGCAUCGGCUCGGGCUUGGGUUCUGGCUUUGGCAUCGGCUCCGGCUUGGGUUCCGGCUUGGGCUCUGGCUUUGGCAUGGGUUCAGGCUUAGGCAUAGGUUUGGGCUCCGGCUUUGGCAUGGGUUCAGGCUUAGGCAUAGGUGUGGGCUCCGGCUUCGGCAUGGGUUCAGGUUUAGGCAUAGGCUUGGGCUCCGGGUACGGCGUGGGCUUGGGCUCUGGCUCGGGGAGCUUCUCGGCGAGGCCCCGGCCAGCAGCGGCCGCGAGGCUGAAGCCGGAGGCCGCGAGCAGCCCGACGAGGAGCACGGCAAGGAGGCUGUGCCUCGCCAUUGCUGCUUUCUCGCAGCUGUUGCUGCACUUGUGCUUCACCGCUUCCGAACCUCUCAACGGGCGAUGGAUAGAUAAAGUGGAUGUGGUGUGUGGUUCCUCUGAAUGGUGGUGUGGAGAACCGGAGAUGGCAUAUGUCCCGGCUUUAUAGCGCUGAGCAGCCAAGCAGGCCCAGACGCGUGUGCCACACUCCCGGCGCCGGUGGGUCUGCUUGUGGAUCAGGUUACCCCAACCUUUUCAGUUUUCAUCUGCCGUCUGCCGUCUGCACCUUCCUUCCUUCCGACUGCAAAGCUAGCUAGGUAAGAUGCCCGAGGUACGGCUGGCGGUGGCCGGUGGCCCGUCGCCGUCGCGCCUUGAAACCCAUGUCGGAUCUUCAUUUCUCCGUUGCGCGUAGCAUCCGACGACGGCUGAUGGGUGCGGGUCAAGUCCGAGGACGACUGUUUCUAGCAGCUAGCAGCAGCAGCAGAUAGCCGGCAGCCGGUGGGGCACUGAAGGUUAAAACCCCAGCCUGACGGCAUCAUCAUCAACUCUUUUAUGCGCCGUACUGUUCACGUGGUUGAUUACAAAGAGAAGGUACGAAAAAGUAAGCACUAGUUGUGGUCGCCAGGCAGACACGAGCCCGUGCGUGUGCGUCCGUCCUGAACGCGUUUGCGCUGCCGGCUCGAUGGCCUGCUGCCGUUUCACUGUUCAUGCAUGUCCGGUCGAUCGAUCCGUCCGUCGGCGAUUCUGCGUACGGCGCGGUGUGCCAUCGACGGCAGCCGCGCCCACUGACCCGCUGUAUCUAUCGAGCCAUCGGCAUUGUUCACGGAUGGGAUCUGGCGAACGAUCGGCCUUGCUUUGCUUGGUGUGGUUUGCGGUGUUGAUUACUUGAUUGAUUGUCUUUUCUUUGUGGGAUACACUUCCGAUGCUUCUUAUCAUAAUCCAUCGCGGCAGUACAAAUAAAGCCAGAGAUAAUAAAAAUUACAACCAGGUCUAUUGAUCGCCUAACUACGAAUGCAAGCAAGGGAGCGAGCUGAGGGCAUGACGACGUCAUUGCCCCUCCAUCAUCCGGGCCGGGUAGAACUUUAUUGUAGUAGACAAAAGACAAUCAAAAAGUAUAGCACCGACCGAAUUUCAUGAGAUUCAGCGAAAAUACCUCCACAUGUCCUCCAACAAUGCUAGACGUAUCGUUGGUAUUAGGAUAAAACGUAAGAAAAUAUUUCUAUUGAACCACAUCACCGCCGUCACAAAGCCCCAACCAAGACACUUUUUUUUUGCGAGAAACCAACCAAGACACAUAACCUAACUGAGAGCAGGGUAGUUGAUUGAUUGACUGGUUGAAAGUCACGCACGCAGCCAGGUAGGCAGGCAGGCGAAAAUGGUUUUGUUGCACUUUUUCCUUGAUGAACAAGCGCUGUUACGUACGUGUUUUUCUUGCUGCAUUUUUCCAUGUUGUGGGGUUCGCUGCAUUGACCAACACUGCUGCUGAAAUGUGCUCCCUCCAUUCCUAAAUAUAAGUCUUUUAAACGAUUUCACUAAAGAUCUACAUACGGAACAAAAUGAUUGAAUCUAUACUCUAAAAUAUGUCUAUAUACAUCCGUAUGUAGUCCACUAGUGAAAUCUCUACAAAGACUUAUAUUUAGGAACGAAGGGAGUAACAUGGUACUCUAUUAAUCGAGUUUUAUUGAUUAAACAAUGAAGUAGUAAGAUUUUGCGCUCUGCUACUUAUUGGUGUGGAGCUCACACAAAUUGAGAACGCGCAAAAGUAAAGCUCAAGCUGUGGUGGUUAGGGACACCGUAAACCGGCCCGUUGCGUGCUUGAUUGAUCAUGUUGUUUGACUAUCCGUGCAUGCCCCGGUCGAUCUACCUGCAUACGGCCGGCAAGCCAGGCAGGGUGCGUGUGCCAUCGAUCGGAGGCAGUCGUACCGUAGCUAUCGAACCAUCGGCAACGUUGAAAUUGUUCGUGGAGAUGGAUCGACCGACCGACCGACAUUGCUUGCUCUUGUUGGCGGUAUUAAUUGCUUGACCGGUUAACUUAAUUGGCCACGCGCAGGCCAGCAGGUAGGCGGGGCAGGCAGGCGCAACAAAUCUUUGCGUUGAUAUUGGAAGCACAUUUCUCACGCUCACAAGUGUUGUGUGUCAGUGUCAAUCAGGCCAAGCACACGUACGUUUCUUGCUGCGUGUUCCUUUUUUGCGGGGUUGCUGCAUUGAUUAACAACAAUUGCGGCUCAAGUUGCGUAACAUCGCAACGGGGUUUUACCGAUUCAUAAUAUAACAAUAGCAAAUGAAGCAACCUUCGACACCCAAAAUUGAAUAAACGAGGCAACAACCUGCUACCUUACGUACCUAGAUCGUGUUGUUCACAAGCAAAUCAAAACUCUGUGCGUGUCUCCAUGCAAUGAUGGAAGGAUGAGCAACCGUAUUUUAGCUCUAUGUGGUCGGCCAACCUUUAGUAGAAGUCAUCAAAAGAUCGACCGAGUACGCACACGUCAGUGCAAUACGAGAACAAAGUAGAGAGAAAGCAUGGGCGGCCGGUAGAAAGUGACACACGCGUCGCGGCUUGCUGCCACCCGAUUCAACCGGCGGAUCUCACGAAGGUGCCGAUCGCGGGCAUCGAAUCGCUGCCUAGCUUUUGAGUUUUGACUGUAGGCGCGUACUACUAGGUACCAAGAUAAUCAAGGGCAUCGAUGCCCUGGGCUCCACACCAAUCGCCUCACUUCAAUUUCACAGCGGAAACCGUCCGAAGGUCUCCCUCCCCGAAAGGAACUGUGGGCGGAAAAGAUCUCUUAAAAGAUCUGCGUGAGUGCGAUCUGUGCUAGGAGAAGUUACCGUCCCAUCAUGUUUGUUGAAAAAUGUAAAAUGUCAUCUCGUUGUCAUUGUGUGGUGGUGUUCAGGUUGCAUUUUCAGAUAUGCGAUCUUUUUUAGCAUAUCUUCACCGGUUUGGGUGUCUCUAAAUUUAAACGUCUUCUCUCAUUAAACACAUAUCGUCGGAAUGCCUGAAAUAAAUCAAAAAAAUAAAAAUACAAGCGCUAGUCUAAGUCUAUGACUUGAACUCUGAUGAGCCGGUAACAUCAUUGUGCUUCUAACCAACCAACCACAAAUUGGUUUGUCGGUUUAGAAGUUUCUAACGUUAGGAAAUAGCUUAGGGGUUCCAUGACCAAUGAUUAGGGUAAAUUACGUGAUAUGUUUAUUUUACUUUAUUAGUCGUCUAGGUACCAUUAGUGAAAAAUGGGGCUUUAGUCCCUGUUUCAUAGGGCCUUUAGUCCCAGUUGUGCGGCUGGGAUUAAGCCCUCGGGACUAAAGGCCUCACCUUUUAGUUUCGUCGUGCUGCAAACUGGAAUUAAAGUAGUCCACGUGACUGCUGCACAACGCUCGAGCAGGAGGACUAUUAGUCCCGGUUGGUGUUCGUUGGUAACACCAACCGAGACUAAAGAGCUCCACGCGUUUUUAGGGGGUUGGAGGGGUAGGGUUUUGGAGGGGUUUAGCGGUUUUAUUUUAUGUUUUUUUCUUCUUUUUUUGUGUUAGAAUCAAAGCCCUGUUUUCUACUAGUGUUUGCGUGUCGGUCACCUCUUUGCCUCGACGCUAGCUACUAAUAGCAAUGAAGGAACCGUUACACAAUAUCGUCAUGAAUAUGAAGUGACCUCUCUGCCUCGACGCUAGCUACUAAUAUUCGACACUACUACAUAUAGUACACAUUCAUGCAUAUAUAUAAUAGAUAUCUCUCACGAUCUCUAAUAUCUAAUUACCAACAUUCCCUAUAACUUGCUCAUGGUAUUCUCCGAUUGGUGAUAUGACCUCAUCAACGAAGAAUCCCGCCAAUUCUUCUUGAAUUGCUCGUAUACGAUUCUCUGGUAUGAAUUCAUACCACUUCCGUUGUGUUGGAAAUAUGCCCUAGAGGCAAUAAUAAAUUGGUUAUUAUUAUAUUUCCUUAUUCAUGAUAAUCGUUUAUUAUCCAUGCUAGAAUUGUAUUGAUUGGGAACUCAAAUACAUGUGUGGAUACAUAGACAACACACUGUCCCUAGUGAGCCUCUAGUUGACUUGCUCGUUGAUCAAAGAUGAUCAAGGUUUCCUGGCCAUAGACAAGUGUUGUCACUUGGGAUCACAUCAUUAGGAAAAUGAUGUGAUGUACAAGACCCAAACUAUAAACGUAGCAUAUGAUCGUGUCAGUCUAUUGCUACUGUUUUCUGCAUGUCAAUGUAUCUGUUCCUAUGACCAUGAGAUCGUGCAACUCUCGGACAUCAGAGGAAUACCUUGUGUGUAUCAAAUGUCGCAACGUAACUGGGUGACUAUAAAGGUGCUCUACAGGUAUCUCCGAAGGUGUGUGUUGGGUUGGCAUGGAUCAAGACUGAGAUUUGUCACUCCGUGUGACAGAGAGGUAUCUCGGGGCCCACUCGAUAAUACAACAUCACUACAAGCCUUGCAAGCAAUGUGAUUAAGGAGUUAGUCACGGAGUCUUGUAUUAAGGAACGAGUAAAGAGACUUCCCGGUAACGAGAUUGAACUAGGUAUGGAGAUACCGUGAUCGAAUCUCGGGCAAGUAACAUAUCGAAGGACAAAGGGGACAGCAUACGAGUUUAACUGGAUCCUUGACAUAGAGGUUCAACCGAUAGAGAUCUUCGUAGAAUAUGUAGGAGCCAAUAUGGACAUCCAGGUCCCCUAUUGGUUAUUGAUCGGGGAGUGUCUCAGGUCAUGUCUGCAUAGUUCUUGAACCCACGGGGUCUGCACACUUAAGGUUCGGUAACGUUUCGGUAUAGUUGAGUUAUAGGUGUUGGUGACCGAAGGUUGUUUGGAGUCCCGGAUGAGAUCCUAGACGUCAUGAGGAGCUCCGGAAUGGUCCGGAGGUAAAUAUUGAUAUAUAAGAAGUCCUGUUUUUGGUCACCGAAAAGGUUUCGGGCUCAUCUUAGUGUACCAGGAGUGUCGGGAGGGUACCGGGGGGCCAUUGGGAGGGAUGUCUCGACCCAAGAGGCCUCAUGGGCUGUGGGAGGAGUCAAACCUAUUGGGGAACGUCGCAUGGGAAACAAAAAUUUUCCUACGCGCACGAAGACCUAUCAUGGUGAUGUCCAUCUACGAGAGGGGAUGAGUGAUCUACGUACCCUUGUAGACCGUACAGCAGAAGCAUUAGUGAACGCGGUUGAUGUAGUGGAACGUCCUCACGUCCCUCGAUCCGCCCCGCGAACAAUCCCGCGAUCAGUCCCACGAUCUAGUACCGAACGGACGGCACCUCCGCGUUCAGCACACGUACAACUCGACGAUGAUCUCGGCCUUCUUGAUCCAGCAAGAGAGAUGGAGAGGCAGAAGAGUUCUCCGGCAGCGUGACGGCGCUCCAGAGGUUGGUGAUGACCUUGUCUCAGCAGGGCUCCGCCCGAGCUCCGCAGAAACGCGAUCUAGAGGAAAAACGGUGGAGGUAUGUGGUCGGGCUGCCGUGGAAAAGUCGUCUCAAAUCAGCCCCAAUACCUCCGUAUAUAUAGGUGGGAGGGAGGGGACCUUGCCUUGGGGCUCAAGGAGCCCCAAGGGGGUCGGCCGAGUCCAAGGGGGGAAGGCUCCCCCCCCAAACCGAGUUGGACUUGGUUUGGUGGGUGGGAGUCCUUCCCUUCCUUCCCACCUCCCUUUUUUUUCUUUCUCUUUGAUUUUCCUUUGUAUGGCGCAUAGGGCCCUUUUGGGCUGUCCCACCAGCCCACUAAGGGCUGGUGCGCCACCCUUAUGGCCUAUGGGCUUCCCCGGGGUGGGUUGCCCCCCCCGGUGAACUCCCGGAACCCAUUCGUCAUUCCCGGUACAUUCCCGGUAACUCCGAAAACCUUCCGGUAAUCAAAUGAGGUCAUCCUAUAUAUCAAUCUUCGUUUCCGGACUAUUCCGGAAACCCUCGUGACAUCCGUGAUCUCAUCCGGGACUCCGAACAACAUUCGGUAACCAACCAUAUAACUCAAAUACGCAUAAAACAACGUCGAACCGUAAGUGUGCAGACCCUGCGGGUUCGAGAACUAUGUAGACAUGACCCGAGAGACUCCUCGAUCAAUAUCCAAUAGCGGGACCUGGAUGCCCAUAUUGGAUCCUACAUAUUCUACGAAGAUCUUAUCGUUUGAACCUCAGUGCCAAGGAUUCAUAUAAUCCCGUAUGUCAUUCCCUUUGUCCUUCGGUAUGUUACUUGCCCGAGAUUCGAUCGUCAGUAUCCGUAUACCUAUUUCAAUCUCGUUUACCGGCAAGUCUCUUUACUCGUUCCGUAAUACAAGAUCCCGCAACUUACACUAAGUUACAUUGCUUGCAAGGCUUGUGUGUGAUGUUGUAUUACCGAGUGGGCCCCGAGAUACCUCUCCGUCACACGGAGUGACAAAUCCCAGUCUUGAUCCAUACUAACUCAACUAACACCUUCGGAGAUACCUGUAGAGCAUCUUUAUAGUCACCCAGUUACGUUGCGACGUUUGAUACACACAAAGCAUUCCUCCGGUGUCAGUGAGUUAUAUGAUCUCAUGGUCAUAGGAAUAAAUACUUGACACGCAGAAAACAGUAGCAACAAAAUGACACGAUCAACAUGCUACGUCUAUUAGUUUGGGUCUAGUCCAUCACGUGAUUCUCCUAAUGACGUGAUCCAGUUAUCAAGCAACAACACCUUGUUCAUAAUCAGAAGACACUGACUAUCUUUGAUCAACUGGCUAGCCAACUAGAGGCUUGCUAGGGACGGUGUUUUGUCUAUGUAUCCACACAUGUAAAUGAGUCUUCAUUCAAUACAAUUAUAGCAUGGAUAAUAAACGAUUAUCUUGAUACAGGAAUUAUAAUAAUAACUAUAUUUAUUAUUGCCUCUAGGGCAUAAUUCCAACAAAACCAGCCCCUAGUGGGCUGGCCGAACCAACCACUAAGGCCCAUGGGGCUAGAGGUGGGAAAACCCAAAGGAAAGGAAGGGAAGGAGUCAAAGUAGGAAAGGAAUCCUACUUGGAGUAGGAUUGGAGGUGGACUCUUCCAGCUCCUCCUAUUUCGGCCGAACCCCUAGAGGGUUUUGUGGCUUCCUCCCUCCUAUAUAUACUAGAGGGUUUAGAGGGAAAAGCUAACCCUAAUUGUCACGUGCUCCCUCUACUUCUCUCUAGAUCUGUUCUUCCUCUAGAUCAGUUUUCGGCGAUGCUUAGGCGAAGCCCUGCUGGAUUAGUUCACCACCACCACCACCACGCCGCCGUGCUGGAGAACUCACCGACAUCUCCGCCCCUCUUGCUUGAUCAAGAAGGCGGGGAUCGUCAUCGAGNNNNNNNNNNNNNNNNNNNNNNNNNNNNNNNNNNNNNNNNNNNNNNNNNNNNNNNNNNNNNNNNNNNNNNNNNNNNNNNNNNNNNNNNNNNNNNNNNNNNAUCGGAGAUGAGCAUUCAGAGUGUAUCAAACUAACCGACUGGAUUCCACUUUGUGCAUCGUAACCCUCCUGGAGGGAAACGGUCAUACGUUUCCCUGUGCCUUUAUUAGCAUUUAAGACAUACGUUACCUGUAACAUAGGCAUUUAUUCGCAACUACUCCACCCCUGUGCACCGAACCGUUGUGAAGGGCAACACACUCUAUAUAAGCCGCCCUUCCCCACUGGUGCAAGGGUUAGCAAUUCACUGUAAUCCAUAUUCCACUCGACAACAAGCUNNNNNNNNNNUGUUACCUGUAACGUAGGCAUUUAUUCACCACUACUCCACCCCUGUGCACCGAACCGUUGUGAAGGGCAGCGCACUCUAUAUAAGCCGCCCUUCCCCACUGGUACAAGGGUUAGCAAUUCACUGUAAUCCAUAUUCCACUCGACAACAAGCUCUCAAGAGCACUGAGACAUAGGGCUAUUACCUCCACCGUAGAGGGGCCUGAACUCAUACAACCUCGUCGUAGCUAAGACUCUACCCAUCCUUUCGUACCCUACACAUCUACUGUCAGGCUUAUACCCACGAGAACGUCCAAAACAAGUAGACCGAUACUUUCUGCAUCUACUACUAUUACUCCACACGUCGACCGCUAUCCAGCAUGCAUCUAGUGUAUUAAGUCCAAAAGAACAGAGUAACAACUUAAGCAAGAUGACAUGAUGUAGAUGGACAAUCUCAUAUCUACGACAAAGCCCACCUUGUUACCCUUGAUGGAAACUACACGAUGUGUGCCUUGUUGCCCCUACUAUCACUGGAAAGGUCACCACACGGUAAGAACCCAAAGCCAAGCACUUCUCCCAUUGCAAGAAUCAUAGAUCUAGUUGGCCAAACAAAACCCAAGACUCGGAGAUACUUACAAGGAUAUCAAAUCAUGCAUAAAAGAAAUCAGCAAAGACUCAAAUAUAUAUCAAAGAUAAUCUGAUCACGAAUCCACAAUUCAUCGGAUCUCGACAAACACACCGCCAAAGAGGAUUACAUCGGAUAGAUAUCCAUNNNNNNNNNNNNNNNNNNNNNNNNNNNNNNNNNNNNNNNNNNNNNNNNNNNNNNNNNNNNNNNNNNNNNNNNNNNNNNNNNNNNNNNNNNNNNNNNNNNNUUUAUACUAACGUUUGUGCUUGCAGAUGCGUUUACUAUUUUGCUAGGAUGUAGCUUUAGUAGUAAUAGCAUGAGUAGCACGACAACCCCGAUGGCAACACGUUGAUGGAGAUCAUGGCGUGGCGCCGGUGACAAGAAGAUCGUGCCGGUGCUUUGGUGAUGGAGAUCAAGAAGCACGUGAUGAUGGCCAUAUCAUGUCACUUAUGAAUUGCAUGUGAUGUUAAUCCUUUAAUGCACCUCAUUUUGCUUAGAACGACGGUAGCAUUAUGAGGUGAUCUCUCACUAAAAUUUCAAGACGAAGUUGUGUUCUCCCCGAUUGUGCACCAUUGCUACAGUUCGUCGUUUCGAGACACCACGUGAUGAUCGGGUGUGAUNNNNNNNNNNAUUGUGUUCUCCCCGACUGUGCACCGUUGCUACAGUUCGUCGUUUCGAGACACCACGUGAUGAUCGGGUGUGAUAGACUCAACGUUCACAUACAACGGGUGCAAAACAGCUGCGCACGUGGAACACUCGGGUUAAGCUUGACGAGCCUAGCAUGUGCAGACAUGGCCUCGGAACACAUGAGACCGAAAGGUCGAUCAUGAAUCAUAUAGAUGAUAUGAUUAGCAUAGGGAUGCUUACCACUGAAACUAUACUCAACUCACGUGAUGAUCGGACUUGAGCUAGUGUAAGUGGAUCAUGAACCACUCAAAUGACUAGAGAGAUGUACUUUUUGAGUGGGAGUUUAGCNNNNNNNNNNNNNNNNNNNNNNNNNNNNNNNNNNNNNNNNNNNNNNNNNNNNNNNNNNNNNNNNNNNNNNNNNNNNNNNNNNNNNNNNNNNNNNNNNNNNAUCUCGGAGGGGCUCUCGCCCCUCCGCCGCCAUGGAAACCAUGGACCAGAGGGGAAACCCUUCUCCCAUCUAGGGAGGAGGUCAAGGAAGAAGAAGAAGGAGGAGGGGGGCUCUCUCCCCCUCUCUCCCGGCGGCUCCGGAACGCCGCCCGGGACAUCAUCGUGUGACGGCGAUCUACACCAGCACCUCCGUCAUCUUCACCAACAUCUCCAUCAUCUUCCCCCAUCUAUAUUCAGCGGUUCACUCUCCCGCAACCCGUUGUACCCUCUACUUGAACAUGGUGCUUUAUGCUACAUGUUAUUAUCCAAUGAUGUGUUGCUAUCCUAUGAUGUAUGAGUAGAUUAUCGUUGUCCUAUCGGUGAUUGAUGAAUUGCUAUGAUUGGUUUAAUUUGCUUGUGGUUAUGUUGUUUUCCUUUGGUGCCCAUCAUAUGAUCGCGCGUGUGGAUCACACCAUAGGGUUAUUUGUAUGUUGAUAGGACUAUGUAUUGGCAGGCUAGAGUGACAUAAGCUUCAAACCUAGCAUAGAAAUUGAUGCAUAUGGGAUUGAAGGGGGACCAAUAUACCUUAUUGCUAUGGUUGGGCUUUACCUUAAUGAACGUUAGUAGUUGCGGACGCUUGCUAAUAGUUCCAAUCAUAAGUGCAUAGAAUUCCAAGUAAGGGAUGACAUGCUAGGAGAGGCCUCUCCCACAUGAUACUUGCUAUCGAUCUAGUAACGUAGUCAAUUGCUUAGGGCCAAUUCCGCAACUCCUACCACCACUUUUCCACAAUCGUUAGACACCCGUAGUUGUUUCUUUAUCUAACCAGCCCCUAGUUUUAUUUACGUGUUCUUUACUUUCUUGCAAGCCUAUCCUAUCACUCCUGCAAAGUACUUCUAGUUUCAUACUUGUUCUAGGUAAAGCGAACGUAAAGUGUGCGUAGAGUUGUAUCGGUGGUCGAUAGAACUUGAGGGAAUAUUUGUCCUACCUUUAGCUCUUCGUUGGGUUCGACACUCUUACUUNNNNNNNNNNNNNNNNNNNNNNNNNNNNNNNNNNNNNNNNNNNNNNNNNNNNNNNNNNNNNNNNNNNNNNNNNNNNNNNNNNNNNNNNNNNNNNNNNNNNGUGUACAUGUGGGGGAUGAGCACAAACAUCGGGAAUUUGACCUACGAGCGUUGUUGUUUGUAACCAUCAAUGACUGGCCUGCUCUUAGUAACCUUUCACGACAAACAAACAAGGGAUACAAUGCAUGCAUGCGCUGUUUAUAUGAGACUGAAAGUAUAUAUUUUGACAAAUGUAAGAAGAAUGUGUACCAGGGACAUCGUCGAUUUCUUCUGAGCAGGCAUCCCUUAAGAAAGAAAGGCAAGCAUUUCAAAGGUGAGGCAGGUCAACGGAAGAAUCUUGUCCUCCAUACAGGUGAUGCUAUAUUUGAUAUGGUCAAGAAUUUAAAAGCUAUAUUUGGAAAGGGUCCUGGCUGACAAUUUGUUCCGAAUGACGCUGACGGGUAUGCACCCAUGUGAAAGAAGAAAUCUAUAUGUUGGGACCUACCUUAUUGGAUAUACCUAAAGGUCCGCUAUGCAAUCAACAUGAUGCAUGCGAAGAAGAAUAUUUGUGUGAACUUGCUAGACUUCUUGGGCAUGUAUGGGAAGACAAAAGAUACACUUGAGGCAUGGGAGGACCGGCAACGUAUGAACAAAAAAGAUGGCAUGCAUCCAAAGCAGUAUCAAGGUCCUACCAGCUACGUUCUUACCAAAGCAAAUAAGGUAAUAUUUUUUGAAUGCCUGCUCGGUAUCAAGGCCCCGUCUGGCUUCUCAUCGAAUAUAAAGGGAAUAAUAAAUAUGGCAGAGAUCUAGAAAUCCUACCAAGUUUACAGAAUGAUUUGGUCCAAUGUCUUCUCAGUUUCGAGUUGGUGUUCCCACCAUCAUUCUUCAAUAUUAUGACGCACGCCCUAGUUCACCUAGUCUAUGAGAUGGCCAUUCUCAGUCUUGUAUAUCUACACAAUAUGUUCCCCUUUGAGAGAUUCAUGGGAUUCUUAAAGAAAUAUGUCUGUAACCGUGCUAGGCCAAAAGGAAGCAUCUCCAAGGGCCAUGAAACAGAGGAGGUCAUUGAGUUUUUUGUGUUGACUUUAUUCUUGACAUUAAGCCGACUGGUGUUCCUCAACUGAGGCAUGAGGGGAGACUGAGUGGAAAAGGCACGCUAGGACCAAACUCAAUAAUAUGUAGGGACGGGCAUUCUUGGGCGCAAGCACAUUACAUAGUUCUACAAAAUUCUACCUUGGUGGGCCCGUAUGUCAAUGAACACAAGAAUAUUCUACGCUCUAAAUACCCAGAGCAGUGUGACGACUGUAUUACACGUGAACACAUGGGGACUUUUGGCGGUUGGCUGCAAACACAUCUCAGGAGUAACGACAUUGUUGGAGAUGACCUGUACUUGUUGGCUAGGACACCAUCUUCGACUGUAUUGACUUUCCAAGGGUACGAGCUAAAUGGGAAUACAUUUUACACAAUCGCCCAAGAUAAAAAGAGCACCAACCAAAACAGUGGUGUCCGCUUUGAUACAGCAAACAUCAAUAGGGAAAAGGACACAUAUUAUGGUUACACAUAGGAGAUAUGGUACCUUGACUAUGGGCAUAAUGAUUUGAAGGUCCCUUUGUUAUGGUGCAAAUGGGUCAAUCUGACAGGAGGAGGGUACAGGUAGACCCGCAAUACAGAAUGACAAUGGUGGAUAUCAACAAUCUUGGGUACACAGACAAACCAUUCGUCCUAGCCAAUGAUGUGGCACAGGUUUUCUAUAUGAAGGACAUGUCUGCCAAACCGAGAAAAAGAAAAGAUAAGGAAGCGAAUGCAUCAUACGAUGAGCCAAAGCGCCACAUAGUUCUUUCGGGGAAAAGAAACAUCGUGGGAGUGAAGGACAAGACAAACAUGUCAAAAGAUUAUGAAAAGUUUCAUGAAAUUCCUCCCUUCACAGUGAAUACUGGCCCAAGCAUCCUGUUAAAUGAUGAAGAUUAUCCAUUGUUACGAUGCAAUAAGCAAGGUACAAACCAAAGGGAAUCUUAGCUAGGGCAUUUUGGCUCGAAAGAGAUUGUCCAGUUUGUACACGAAGUGCAUCUAACUUUUGCCAUGAUCCUCUAAACUUUUUAGCACGUGCUAUGUGGGUUAAAUGAUGAUACCCUGCUAAAUUUCAACCUUUUCAGAGUUCUUUUGUAGUGCUUUUCAGUUUCAUGGUCAUUUAGCUCAAAACAAAUUCAUGAAAUGCAUGAAAAAUAGCAAAUGAAGUCAGAAAGCGUUGAAAAUUGAUGACGUGGCUUUGAAUGGUGUAUAUUGAACGCGGAAAAAGUAUGGAGGUUAAAUAAGCUUAAAAAUGAAAUGCCUUUGUAACAGAUGGGUUUUUGUCCGAAACCCACAUAUUUCGAAAGAGGUUGUCCAAUUUGUACACAAAGUCCAUCCAGUUUUUGUCGUAACCGUCUCAACUUUUUAGCACAUGCUAUAUGGUAAAAUGAUGAUACCAUGCCAAAUUUCAACCUUUUCAGAGUUCAUUUGUAGUGAUUUUCAAUUUCAGGGUCAUUUAGCUCAAAAAAAUCAUUAAAUGCAUGAAAAAUAGAAAAUGAAGUCAGAAAGGGUUGAAAACUUAUGACGUGGCUUCGAAUGGUGCAUAUUGAACGCAUAAAAAGUCUGGAGUCGAAAUAAGCUUAAAAAUGAAAUGCCUUUUUAACACAUGAGUUUUCGUCCCAAAGACUCAUACUUCUAAAGAGAUUGUUCAGUUUGUACAUGAAGUGCAUCCAGUUUUUCCGUAACCCUCUCAAAUUUUUACCACAUGUUAUAUGGGUGAAAUGAUGAUACCAUGCCAAAUUUCAACCUUUUCAUAGUUCAUUUGUAGUGCUUUCCAAUUUCAGGGUCAUUUAGAUAAAAAAAUCAUUAAAUGCAUAAAAAAAUAACAAAUGAAGUUAGAAAGGGUUGAAAAUUGAUGACAUGGCUUUGAAUGGUGCAUAUUGAAUGCAUAAAAAGUUUGGAGUUGAAAUAAGCUUAAAAAUGAAAUGCCUUUGUAACAGAUGAGUUUUCAUUCGAAACCCUCAUACUCCAAAAGAGAUUAUCUAGUUUGUACACGAAGUGCAUCCAGUUUUUGACGUAACCCUCUCAACUUUUUACCACAUGCUAUGUGGGUGAAAUGAUGAUACCAUGCCAAAUUUUAACCUUUUUGAGAGUUCAUUUGUAGUGUUUUCCAAUUUCAGGGUUAUCUAGAUAAAAAAUCAUUAAAUGCAUGAAAAAUAGCAAAUGAAGUUAGAAAGGGUUGAAAAUUGAUGACAUGGCUUUGAAUGGUGCAUAUUGAAUGCACAAAAAGUCUGGAGUUGAAAUAAGCUUAAAAAAUGAAAUGUCUUUGUAACAAAUGAUUUUUCGUUCGAAACCCUCAUACUCUGAAAGAGAUUGUCCAGUUUGUACACGAAGUGCGCCUAGUUUUUGCCAUAACCCUCUCAACUUUUUAGCACAUGCUAUGUGGGUGAAAUUAUGAUACCAUGCCAAAUUCCAGUCUUUUCAGAGUUCAUUUGUAGUGCUUUUUGAAUUAAUAUGUGGGUGAAAUGAUGAUUCCGAAAGAAAGAUCUUGAUAGCACUGAUCCCCUUGUGUCAUAUUUUCAAAAACAUAUUGACAAACCACCACCUGAUGCUGGCCCAUCAAUGCAAAAUGUUGUGGUAAUGGUACCUAGUUUAACAAAAAUUAUUUUAUAAUAUUCUUCAAUGGCUAAAAAGAAUCAACUAGAAAGCUUUUAUAAAACUCUAGUUAUGAUCAAAAUAAUAUUAACUUAAAGUUAUAUAAAAUUCAUCCAAUUAAAUUUUUAUAAAGUAUUUUUUUCUUAAAAACUUUAAUAGAAAACAUAAUUAAACGAAAACUAGGCAUGUAUGCAUUUCUUUAAAAGAAAAUUAAAACUAAAAUAUCCUAAAAAGGUCUAAAACAAAAAAUAGGAAAAAUAUAUUUAGUCCCGGUUGGUGGCCUCGACCCGGAGUAAAGGCCACCCUUUAGUAUCUGUCGGAGCCACCAACCGGGACUAAAGCCAUGGGGUUCACACCCUUUGGGCUGGUGAAAUUCACCUUUAGUCCGAGUUGGUGGCUCCGACUUGGACUAAAGGGGGCCUUUAGUCCCGGUCGGACUCACCAACCGGGACUAAUGUCUCGGGUAUAUAACCUCCCGCGGCCCUCCCCACCAAUCUUCUUCUCCACUCCCCACGACACCGAACCCACGCACAACGCCACCAGGCUGCGGGAGGACAUCGCCGUCGUCUCCACUCCUCCCCCGAACUCGACGCCGUCGUCGCUCCUCUCAUCUCCGACCCUGACGUUGUCGUCGCCGCUCCUCUCGUCUUCGACCCCGAUCGACGACGCCGUCGGCGCUCCUUCCCCGACCCGACCACUCUCCAUCGACCCCGACGCCAUCGGCCGACCACCUCCGUCGACUCCGCUGCCUCCUUCCACGAUGAGCCUAGCCCCCCUUGUCUAUUGAUCGUCGUUCCCGCGGAUGCCCGAGCGCGACGGUUCCUCCCACGAUGUAAACCGGCCAAAUUUAUUUGGAAAAAAUGUUCAUGAUGUCAUUUCCACUCUAGAUAUCAGCUUAUUGUUUACUUGAUUGAUUGAUUGUGGUGGCAAAAUAGUCGGUGAUGAAGUAUGAGUCCAUGUAUUUUGACAUGUUUGAAUGAUGUUAUUGAAAUUAUGGUAUCCAAAUAUAGUGUCAAAAUGAUCGUGAUGAAGUAUGAGUCCAUGUAUCUAAUAACAUGUUGGAUUAUUACACCAUAUUUGAUAUUUUAUGAUAAUGUUGGCUAUUAAUAUAGCAAAUAAAUUUGCUGGUCAUUUUGUGAUUCGAAGUUUCUUGAGUCAGAAAAGAAGUUUUUAUUAGAGAUUUAAUUUAGUCAGGGAAGCAAUUGCAACAUCAAUCAUCACCAAAAAAUAUUUGACUCUAAAUUAUUCCAGCUCACUUGCUUGUGUUUCUUCAUUCUGGUUAUCUUCGUCAUUCUCACUAAUUUCAUCAAAUUGUUGCAAAGCCUUCAUUCUGUACUUCUCAAAAUAUGAGAUGGCACCUUCAAUCUGUUUAAGAGUAACAUCAAUGUGGAGUUGUUGUUAGGGACCGCAUCCCGAUCUCCAUUCAAGAACGGAAUAAUCCAAAGGUGGACGAUGUUACUUAUAUCGAUGAUAGAUCCAAAUAAAUGCUCUGGAAUAGCCUCAUGACAAAUUUCACCCUACCGCAAGAGGUGGAUCCAAAUAACCCAGUUAUACAGCGAAAAGUCAAGUCGUGGGCUCUUAAGAAGAUGGCCCAAUAAUUCUGCAACUAGAAGAAACGAUUGAACCAAGACUAUGUCUAGAAAGGAAAGAGUCCAGCAUUCACCGGAGCACUUGAGAAGUUAAAAGAUCACUAGGAUGUAUUUGUGGAGUUCAAGAAAUCAGAUGAAGCUAAGAAAAGGUCAAAAAGAAAUAAGAGAAAUGCUACGAAGAAAGACUAUCACCAUGUUAUGGGGUGAGGUGGCUACAUGGUUGCCAGGCCUAAGUGGGAGAACACGGAAGACGAGCUGAUUGCUAAAGGGGUCGAACCAGAGCCAUUUAACUGGAUCGAAUGGGCAAGGACUUGGUUCCACGGUCAUGGGGGAAAGUUGAACCCAGAAACAGGGAAGUGUAUUUAUACAAAAAAAAGCAACUUGCAAGACCCCUAGAAGCCCUUCGAGCUGAAAUAAAGGACGUGCAUGACGGGAAGUUCGUUCCCUAUAGAGAGAAUGACGAGCUGACACGUGCCCUCGGGAAUUCUGAACCCAGUGGACGAACAUGAGGCACACGAGGCUCCGUUCCGUGGAAGGUUGGGUUUCCCGGUGUCAGUGACAACUAUAGAAGCCGAGCGAGAAAGAAGAAACAUGAAGAAUAUCGGAAUAAAUAGGAAGCAGACUGGAUGCAGAAGGUAGAAUAAAAAUUAAAGGUCCACCAACAGAUAAGAAAAUAGGCUUACCAGAGAGCGAGCUACCACAGACCCAUCUGAUCCUGCAUUCGAUACUGCUGCUGGCCCAUCACCAUCUCAGAGGAAAAGCAGUGUGGCUUCCACGGAGUUCGUUCGGCCCACAGAUGAUAUCUCGGCUCCUCGCUCCCGCGUGGAUGAUAUCAUGAAGAGGUAAAAUUGUGAGCUACAUGCGAAAUGAUGGAACUUACCAUUGAAGGUGGAAGUCGUCUAUGUCUUACCUCCUAGUCCUGAUGCAACUUACCAUUGCUCUUUGGUUCCAAAUGGCUAUGUUUUUGUCGGGGUGGAUGAAGUUACCAGCGGAUUUGAGCAGCUAGAGCUUGAGCACCCUACACUUGAAGGCGAGACUCAUGUGGUAGAUGCCUUGAGGACUACCAUUGUAUGGAGAAAGGAACACAUCUUGCUUCCACAUUGGACGCCAUGUCAGCAGAUCACUUCGCCGGACUCGGCCCCUCAACAGACUCCUCAUAGUAGCUAUCCAGCUCAGCGUCAGCACACUCCGUCGCCUCAGCUGUCUCCGUCGCGUCAGCUAACUCUGUUACGUCAGCUGACUCCGCCUCCUCAGUUGUCUCCGAUGCGUGAGCUGACUCCGUCGCAUCAGCAGACUACACCUCCUCCACCGCCUCAACGAACUACACCUCCUCCGCCGCCUCAGCCCCACGCGUGGAAGAGAAUCGUCGCUCCGGCGGCUAGUAGUACAACUGUGAAGAAACCCAGAGCAGAUACACACGUCAAGAAGGCUCUUGCCAAGUUACCAUACGAGCUGACUGAUGAGGACACCAAUAAGGUCGUGCAGGAGCAAGUGAGAAGCCAUUUUGCACCGAAACCGCACGAGAAACCUGAGAAAAUAGAUAUGAAAAAAGUGAAGUGCACUCUAAAAAACCUUACGCGACCACUGCCUCCUCCGCCCCUAAUAGACUAUGAACACUCGAUUGUUAAGUCACAUAUAGAAGAGAGGCGGUCUGGGAGUAGUAGAUCAGGUGGGAAAAUGAUUCCCUAGCUCGAAGAACAAAAAUACCAAUUUGUACCCUUAUGCUUACCGGUGCCGAUUAUGGUGCGGAGGCAGCGGGCCAUGGUAUUGGUUUCACUCUUGGUAAAUACUUAGGCGAGCAGGAAGAGUUCCCCCCUCCUGAGAUAGUAUACACAUACCAGUAUGGGAAGCCUCUCGUCGAACCUAAGAAUGUCCCGCUUCUACCAACACGAAUGUGAAACUUGCAUGAGUGGUACAUGAAAGCCUGCAAGGAUGGGACCAACUAUCUCAUUGCGGGGGUUAAAGAUGAGCAUUUCUUCAAUGGAGACAAGCUGAUUUACAUUGAAUUUGAGGAAUUUUUUCAGUUAUUCAAUUAAGACGUCGUCAACAAAGCUAUCAUCAGUUGCUAUUGUCUAUAAGUAUCAUUUUUGUAAUUAAGUCUCCAUCUUAGCUCGUUCAUUGCAUGUAUAAUUAUCCUCACUACAUAUAUUAUGCGGAAUGAAGAUCCUCCGAUGCAAAAGAGGAGGAAUCUAUGACAUUGGGUUCAUUAACCCAAAUAUUGUUCAUGGAGUGACCAUAAAAAAUAACGCCGAGGAUAUAGAGAAGAUCUUGCUAAGGGCGUUAAUUGAACAAGAAACCAAAAGGGAAAUAAUUUUUCCUUACAACUUCAAGUGAGUGUUAUACUGUCUUGAACACAUUCUGUUUUCAACAAUUACUCGAUGUUAAGUGUAAUUGAUGAGUUAUGCAUGCACAAGUUCCACUUUAU